UACGUAGGUGGCAAGCGUUGUCCGGAAUUAUUGGGCGUACAGCGCGCGCAGGCGGCCUCUUAAGUCUGAUGUGAAAGCCCCCGGCUCAACCGGGGAGGGCCAUUGGAAACUGGGAGGCUUGAGUAUAGGAGAGAAGAGUGGAAUUCCACGUGUAGCGGUGAAAUGCGUAGAGAUGUGGAGGAACACCAGUGGCGAAGGCGACUCUUUGGCCUAUAACUGACGCUGAGGCGCGAAAGCGUGGGAGGCAACAGGAUUAAGAUACCGUGUACGUCCGAG
RNAcentral lists this ribosomal RNA (276 nucleotides) under uncultured bacterium. RNAcentral describes it as "partial 16S ribosomal RNA". It matches the Rfam family "Bacterial small subunit ribosomal RNA", at positions 524 to 799 of the family's 1533-position model. The record is from RNAcentral.